AGUGAACGCUGGCGGUAGGCCUAACACAUGCAAGUCGAACGGCAACACAGUAAGAGCUUGCUCUUACGGGUGGCGAGUGGCGGACGGGUGAGGCAUACAUAGGAAUCUACUUUUUCGUGGGGGAUAACGUAGGGAAACAUACGCUAAUACCGCAUACGACCUACGGGUGAAAGCAGGGGAUAUUCGGAGCUUGCGCGAUUGAAUGAGCCGAUGUCGCAUUGGCUAGUGUGCGGGGUAAAGGCACACCAAGGCAACGAUGCGUAGCUGAUCUGAGAGGAUGAUAGCCCACACUGGAACUGAGACACGGUCCAGACUCCUACGGGAGGCAGCAGUGGGGAAUCUUCCGCAAUGGGCGAAAGCCUGACGGCGCAACGCCGCGUGAGUGAUGAAGGUCUUCGGAUCGUAAAACUCUGUUAUUAGGGAAGAAAAAAUGUGUAAGUAACUAUGCACGUCUGGACGGUACCUAAUCAGAAAGCCACGGCUAACUACGUG
Molecule: ribosomal RNA, 492 nt
Filed under: uncultured bacterium
Lineage: Bacteria
Description: partial 16S ribosomal RNA
Rfam family: Bacterial small subunit ribosomal RNA
Source: RNAcentral